GCUUGUGGCACAUGAGAGAACCUGUCAUUAAAUUGAUCUCAGAGUUGAAGCAGAGAAAAUGAACCAGUCAGACCCUGACCCUUCCAUAAGAUUGUCGGAGCAAUGGCAUUUCUGCAGUGUUGCACAUGCGAGCUGAUCCACCCCUACUCUCAGAGGUACAACAAUCCUGCUUCAGCUAUAAAGGGCAAAAUGGGCAGACCUGAUGAUUUGGAGCUAGAGGUCAAGGGAGAGGAGCCUCCUCAUAUACUCGCCAGCAACUUUUUUACAUGUGAUAAUGUCAGAAUAUCCAGCCAAGGAGAGUUGGAGAUGGAGCCAAAGAGGAGACAGGCAUUGGCAAAGAUGGACAGAUGAAUCGGGAGUGGUUGAAACCAUUCAAAUCAAAUCAACAAGCUAUUGUGUGCAGGGCACUGGGAGAGAUACCGAAACAAAGUAGAGGUCAUGAUCUCUACCCUCAAGAAACUUAACAGUGUGCUUGAGAGCAAAGGAAGAAAUUUUCACCACCUGCAAAAUUCUCCUGGAAAGUGAAAAUGUUUAAAACUAUAGGGAUCUGUGAGUUAUUAGUAACCUUUUGGAGGCUCCAUCCCACUUAAGGAUCAACAAAAAAGAUUCAUCAAAAAGAAGUGUCAACAUCACUGGUACUUAGCUCAUAUUACAUAGCUAACUUUCCUCUACUCAGCAAACUUUUAUUCUCCAGGAG
Non-coding RNA from Phascolarctos cinereus (koala), 697 nucleotides. The record is from RefSeq and is a predicted model, not a curated record. NCBI's taxonomy places the organism in Eukaryota, Metazoa, Chordata, Mammalia, Diprotodontia, Phascolarctidae.